RNAcentral lists this ribosomal RNA (1154 nucleotides) under Listeria monocytogenes. Its description in RNAcentral is "partial 23S ribosomal RNA". It matches the Rfam family "Bacterial large subunit ribosomal RNA", at positions 44 to 1193 of the family's 2925-position model. The record is from RNAcentral. Lineage: Bacteria; Bacillati; Bacillota; Bacilli; Caryophanales; Listeriaceae.
AGCCGAAGAAGGACGGGACUAACACCGAUAUGCUUUGGGGAGCUGUACGUAAGCGUUGAUCCAGAGAUUUCCGAAUGGGGGAACCCACUAUCUUUAGUCGGAUAGUAUCCUUACGUGAAUACAUAGCGUAAGGAAGGCAGACCCAGGGAACUGAAACAUCUAAGUACCUGGAGGAAGAGAAAGAAAAAUCGAUUUCCUGAGUAGCGGCGAGCGAAACGGAAAGAGCCCAAACCAAGAAGCUUGCUUCUUGGGGUUGUAGGACACUCUAUACGGAGUUACAAAAGAAAGUUAUAAAUGAAGCGGUCUGGAAAGGCCCGCCAAAGACGGUAACAGCCCGGUAGUUGAAAUGGCUUUCCCUCCAGAGUGGAUCCUGAGUACGGCGGAACACGUGAAAUUCCGUCGGAAUCCGGGAGGACCAUCUCCCAAGGCUAAAUACUCCCUAGUGACCGAUAGUGAACCAGUACCGUGAGGGAAAGGUGAAAAGCACCCCGGAAGGGGAGUGAAACAGUUCCUGAAACCGUGUGCCUACAAGUAGUUAGAGCCCGUUAAUGGGUGAUAGCGUGCCUUUUGUAGAAUGAACCGGCGAGUUACGAUUUGUUGCAAGGUUAAGCGGAAAAAGCGGAGCCGUAGCGAAAGCGAGUCUGAAUAGGGCGCAUAAGUAACAGGUCGUAGACCCGAAACCAGGUGAUCUACCCAUGUCCAGGAUGAAGGUAAGGUAAUACUUACUGGAGGUCCGAACCCACGCACGUUGAAAAGUGCGGGGAUGAGGUGUGGGUAGCGGAGAAAUUCCAAUCGAACUUGGAGAUAGCUGGUUCUCUCCGAAAUAGCUUUAGGGCUAGCCUCGAGGUAAAGAGUCAUGGAGGUAGAGCACUGUUUGGACUAGGGGCCCUUCUCGGGUUACCGAAUUCAGAUAAACUCCGAAUGCCAUGUACUUAUACUCGGGAGUCAGACUGCGAGUGAUAAGAUCCGUAGUCGAAAGGGAAACAGCCCAGACCACCAGUUAAGGUCCCCAAAUAUAUGUUAAGUGGAAAAGGAUGUGGGGUUGCUUAGACAACCAGGAUGUUGGCUUAGAAGCAGCCACCAUUGAAAGAGUGCGUAAUAGCUCACUGGUCGAGUGACCCCGCGCCGAAAAUGUACCGGGGCUAAACAUAUUA